RNAcentral lists this ribosomal RNA (437 nucleotides) under uncultured bacterium. RNAcentral's name for it is "bacterial SSU rRNA". It matches the Rfam family "Bacterial small subunit ribosomal RNA", at positions 29 to 511 of the family's 1533-position model. The record is from RNAcentral.
AACGAACGCUGGCGGCAGGCCUAACACAUGCAAGUCGAGCGCUGUAGCAAUACAGAGCGGCGCACGGGUGAGUAACACGUGGGAACGUGCCCUUUGGUUCGGAAUAACUCAGGGAAACUUGAGCUAAUACCGGAUGAGCCCUAACGGGGAAAGAUUUAUCGCCGAAGGAGCGGCCCGCGUUGGAUUAGCUAGUUGGUGGGGUAAAAGCCCACCAAGGCGACGAUCCAUAGCUGGUUUGAGAGAACGACCAGCCGCACUGGGACUGAGACACGGCCCAGACUCCUACGGGAGGCAGCAGUGGGGAAUCUUGGACAAUGGGGGAAACCCUGAUCCAGCCAUGCCGCGUGAGUGAUGAAGGCCCUAGGGUUGUAAAACUCUUUCGGCGGGGACGAUAAUGACGGUACCCGCAGAAGAAGCUCCGGCUAACUUCGUGCCAG